RNAcentral lists this ribosomal RNA (465 nucleotides) under uncultured bacterium. Its description in RNAcentral is "bacterial SSU rRNA". It matches the Rfam family "Bacterial small subunit ribosomal RNA", at positions 330 to 793 of the family's 1533-position model. The record is from RNAcentral.
GCCAGACUCCUACGGGAGGCAGCAGUGAGGAAUAUUGGUCAAUGGCCGAGAGGCUGAACCAGCCAAGUCGCGUGAGGGAAGACGGCCCUACGGGUUGUAAACCUCUUUUGCCGGGGAGCAAAGUGCCGCACGUGUGCGGUUUGGAGAGUACCCGGAGAAAAAGCAUCGGCUAACUCCGUGCCAGCAGCCGCGGUAAUACGGAGGAUGCGAGCGUUAUCCGGAUUUAUUGGGUUUAAAGGGUGCGCAGGCGGAUUUUUAAGUCAGCGGUCAAAUCGUGGGGCUCAACCCCAUCCAGCCGUUGAAACUGGGGAUCUAGAGUGUGCGAGAGGUAUGCGGAAUGCGUGGUGUAGCGGUGAAAUGCAUAGAUAUCACGCAGAACUCCGAUUGCGAAGGCAGCGUACCGGCGCCCAACUGACGCUGAAGCACGAAGGCGUGGGUAUCGAACAGGAUUAGAUACCCCAGUAG